Molecule: ribosomal RNA, 1528 nt
Filed under: Klebsiella pneumoniae
Lineage: Bacteria; Pseudomonadati; Pseudomonadota; Gammaproteobacteria; Enterobacterales; Enterobacteriaceae
Description: bacterial SSU rRNA
Rfam family: Bacterial small subunit ribosomal RNA
Source: RNAcentral
AGAGUUUGAUCAUGGCUCAGAUUGAACGCUGGCGGCAGGCCUAACACAUGCAAGUCGAGCGGUAGCACAGAGAGCUUGCUCUCGGGUGACGAGCGGCGGACGGGUGAGUAAUGUCUGGGAAACUGCCUGAUGGAGGGGGAUAACUACUGGAAACGGUAGCUAAUACCGCAUAACGUCGCAAGACCAAAGUGGGGGACCUUCGGGCCUCAUGCCAUCAGAUGUGCCCAGAUGGGAUUAGCUAGUAGGUGGGGUAACGGCUCACCUAGGCGACGAUCCCUAGCUGGUCUGAGAGGAUGACCAGCCACACUGGAACUGAGACACGGUCCAGACUCCUACGGGAGGCAGCAGUGGGGAAUAUUGCACAAUGGGCGCAAGCCUGAUGCAGCCAUGCCGCGUGUGUGAAGAAGGCCUUAGGGUUGUAAAGCACUUUCAGCGGGGAGGAAGGCGAUAAGGUUAAUAACCUUGUCGAUUGACGUUACCCGCAGAAGAAGCACCGGCUAACUCCGUGCCAGCAGCCGCGGUAAUACGGAGGGUGCAAGCGUUAAUCGGAAUUACUGGGCGUAAAGCGCACGCAGGCGGUCUGUCAAGUCGGAUGUGAAAUCCCCGGGCUCAACCUGGGAACUGCAUUCGAAACUGGCAGGCUAGAGUCUUGUAGAGGGGGGUAGAAUUCCAGGUGUAGCGGUGAAAUGCGUAGAGAUCUGGAGGAAUACCGGUGGCGAAGGCGGCCCCCUGGACAAAGACUGACGCUCAGGUGCGAAAGCGUGGGGAGCAAACAGGAUUAGAUACCCUGGUAGUCCACGCCGUAAACGAUGUCGAUUUGGAGGUUGUGCCCUUGAGGCGUGGCUUCCGGAGCUAACGCGUUAAAUCGACCGCCUGGGGAGUACGGCCGCAAGGUUAAAACUCAAAUGAAUUGACGGGGGCCCGCACAAGCGGUGGAGCAUGUGGUUUAAUUCGAUGCAACGCGAAGAACCUUACCUGGUCUUGACAUCCACAGAACUUUCCAGAGAUGGAUUGGUGCCUUCGGGAACUGUGAGACAGGUGCUGCAUGGCUGUCGUCAGCUCGUGUUGUGAAAUGUUGGGUUAAGUCCCGCAACGAGCGCAACCCUUAUCCUUUGUUGCCAGCGGUUAGGCCGGGAACUCAAAGGAGACUGCCAGUGAUAAACUGGAGGAAGGUGGGGAUGACGUCAAGUCAUCAUGGCCCUUACGACCAGGGCUACACACGUGCUACAAUGGCAUAUACAAAGAGAAGCGACCUCGCGAGAGCAAGCGGACCUCAUAAAGUAUGUCGUAGUCCGGAUUGGAGUCUGCAACUCGACUCCAUGAAGUCGGAAUCGCUAGUAAUCGUAGAUCAGAAUGCUACGGUGAAUACGUUCCCGGGCCUUGUACACACCGCCCGUCACACCAUGGGAGUGGGUUGCAAAAGAAGUAGGUAGCUUAACCUUCGGGAGGGCGCUUACCACUUUGUGAUUCAUGACUGGGGUGAAGUCGUAACAAGGUAACCGUAGGGGAACCUGCGGUUGGAUCACCU